UUAGAGUUUUGAUCCUGUAUCAGGAUGAACGCUGUCGGCGUGCCUAAUACAUGCAAGUCGAGCGAAUGGAUUAAGAGCUUGCUCUUAUGAAGUUAGCGGCGGACGGGUGAGUAACACGUGGGUAACCUGCCCAUAAGACUGGGAUAACUCCGGGAAACCGUGGCUAAUACCGGAUAACAUUUUGNACCUCAUGGUUCGAAAUUCAAAGGCGGCUUCGGCUGUCACUUAUGGAUGGACCCGCGUUGCAUUAGCUAGUUGGUGAGGUAACGGCUUACCAAGGCAACGAUUCGUAGCCGACUUGAGAGGGUGAUCGCCACACUGGGACUGAGACCCGGCCCAGACUCCUUCGGGAGGCAGCCGUAGGGAAUCUUCCGCAAUGGACGAAAGUCUGACGGAGCACCGCCGCGUGAGUGAUGAAGGCUUUCGGGUCGUAAAACUCUGUUGUUAGGGAAGAACAAGUGCUAGUUGAAUAAGCUGNCACCUUGACGGUACCUANCCAGAAAGCCNCGGCUAACUACGUGCCAGCAGCCGCGGUAAUACGUAGGUGGCAAGCGUUAUCCGGAAUUAUUGGGCGUAAAGCGCGCGCAGGUGGUUUCUUAAGUCUGAUGUGAAAUCCCACGGCUCAACCGUGGAGGGUCAUUGGAAACUGGGAGACUUGAGUGCAGAAGAGGAAAGUGGAAUUUCCAUGUGUAGCGGUGAAAUGCGUAGAGAUAUGGAGGAACACCAGUGGCGAAGGCGACNUUCUGGUCUGUAACUGACCACUGAGGCGCGAAAGCGUGGGAGCAA
RNAcentral lists this ribosomal RNA (786 nucleotides) under Bacillus sp. CUL-PUPN1D1. RNAcentral's name for it is "bacterial SSU rRNA". It matches the Rfam family "Bacterial small subunit ribosomal RNA", at positions 1 to 771 of the family's 1533-position model. The record is from RNAcentral. Lineage: Bacteria; Bacillati; Bacillota; Bacilli; Caryophanales; Bacillaceae.